This 65-nucleotide transfer RNA is filed under the name Carbula sinica. Its description in RNAcentral is "tRNA-Tyr". The record is from RNAcentral. RNAcentral also lists the same sequence under 1 other name. Lineage: Eukaryota; Metazoa; Arthropoda; Insecta; Hemiptera; Pentatomidae.
GAUAGAAUGGCUGAAAUUUUAGGCAAUAAAUUGUAAAUUUAUUUAUGGUGAUUAACCUUCUAUCA